Molecule: transfer RNA, 85 nt
Filed under: Felis catus (domestic cat)
Lineage: Eukaryota; Metazoa; Chordata; Mammalia; Carnivora; Felidae
Rfam family: tRNA
About the family: Transfer RNA (tRNA) molecules are approximately 80 nucleotides in length. Their secondary structure includes four short double-helical elements and three loops (D, anti-codon, and T loops).
Source: Rfam by way of RNAcentral
GCCUGGGUGGCUCAGUCGGUUAAGCAUCUGACUUUGGCUCAGAUCACGAUCUCACAGUCUGUGAGUUUGAGUCCCACAUCAGGCU